Molecule: long non-coding RNA, 267 nt
Organism: Mya arenaria
Lineage: Eukaryota; Metazoa; Mollusca; Bivalvia; Myida; Myidae
Exons: 3
Source: RefSeq, a predicted model, not a curated record
AGGAAAUAAAUUCAAUAAUAAGUUACAAUUAAAAAACACAAAAACUUCCGCCUACCUUCCAAAUCAAGACUAACGCGAAUUUAUUACAGGACAGGUGCGCUACAUAAACGCGGUUUAGGGAUUUAUUUGUGUUUGGAAAUGAGGGUUUUAAUAAUGAUUCUGAUCCUUAUGGAUUUUGUCAAGAAAGACACUACACUUGCAUUUCCAUGCUGGUCAAUUUCACAUUGCAACGCUACACUCGCAGUUUCAUGCCGGACAUUUCCACAU